GGAGUAAUACAUCGGAACGUGUCUUCUAGUGGGGGAUAACUGCCCGAAAGGGCAGCUAAUACCGCAUGAGACCUGAGGGUGAAAGCGGGGGAGUCGCAAGACCUCGCGCUGGAAGAGCGGCCGAUGUCCGAUUAGCUAGUUGGUGAGGUAAAGGCUCACCAAGGCGACGAUCGGUAGCUGGUCUGAGAGGACGACCAGCCACACUGGGACUGAGACACGGCCCAG
This 225-nucleotide ribosomal RNA is filed under the name uncultured bacterium. RNAcentral's name for it is "partial 16S ribosomal RNA". It matches the Rfam family "Bacterial small subunit ribosomal RNA", at positions 107 to 334 of the family's 1533-position model. The record is from RNAcentral.